UACGAAGGGGGCUAGCGUUGCUCGGAAUCACUGGGCGUAAAGGGCGCGUAGGCGGCCAUUCAAGUCAGAGGUGAAAGCCCGGGGCUCAACCCCGGAAUUGCCUUUGAAACUGCAUCGCUAGAAUUGUGGAGAGGUAAGUGGAAUUCCGAGUGUAGAGGUGAAAUUCGUAGAUAUUCGGAAGAACACCAGUGGCGAAGGCGACUUACUGGACACAUAUUGACGCUGAGGUGCGAAAGCGUGGGGAGCAAACAGG
RNAcentral lists this ribosomal RNA (253 nucleotides) under uncultured bacterium. RNAcentral describes it as "partial 16S ribosomal RNA". It matches the Rfam family "Bacterial small subunit ribosomal RNA", at positions 524 to 776 of the family's 1533-position model. The record is from RNAcentral.